Molecule: ribosomal RNA, 1848 nt
Organism: Homo sapiens (human)
Lineage: Eukaryota; Metazoa; Chordata; Mammalia; Primates; Hominidae
Rfam family: Eukaryotic small subunit ribosomal RNA
Source: Rfam
UACAUGGUUGAUCCUACCAGAACCAUAUGCUUGUCUCAAAGAUUAAGCCAUACAUGUCUAAGUACGCAGGGCCGGUCCAGUGAAACUGCAAAUGGCUCAUUAAAUCAGUUAUGGUUCUUUUGGUCACUCGCUCCUCUCCUAAUUGGAAAACUGUGGUAAUUCUAAAUCUAAUACAUGCCAAAGGGCGCUGACCCCCUUCGCGGGGAAGAUGCGUGCAUUUAUCAGAUCAAAACCAACCCAGUCAGCCCCUCUCCAGCCCCGGCCGGAGGGUCAGGUGCCACCAGCUUUUGUGACACUAGAUAACCUCAGGCCAAUGGCAUGCCCCCAGUGGCAGCGACGACCCAUUCAAAAAUCUGCCUUAUCAACUUUCGAUGGUAGUUGCUGUGCCUACCACGGUGACCAUGGGUGAUGGGGAAUCAGGGUUCCACUCUGAAGAGGGAGCCUGAGAAACAGCUACCACAUUCAAGGAAGGCAGCAGGUGCAAAAAUUACCCACUCCCGACCGGGGGAGGUACUGAUGAAAAAUAACAAUACAGGACUCUUUCGAGGCCCUGUAAUUGAAAUGAGUCUACUUUAAAUCCUUUAGGAGGAUCCAUUGGAGGGCAAGUCUGGUGCCAGCAGCCACAGUAAUUCCAGCUCCAAUAGCAUAUAUUAAAGUUGUUAAAAAGCCCGUAGUUAGAUCUUGGGAGUGGGCGGGCAGGCUAGCCAUGGACCGUCCCCGCCCCUUGCCUCUCAGCACCCCCUCGAUGUUCUUAGCUGAGUGUCCCGUGGCCCAAAGCGUUUACUUUGAAAAAGUUAGACUGUUCAAAGCAGGCCUGAGCCACCUAGAUAUCUCAGCUAGGAAUGAUGGAAUAGAACCGCCAUUCUUUUUUGUUGGUUUUCAGGACUGAGGCCAUGAUUAAGAGGGAUGGCUGGGGGCAUUCGUAUUGUGCCACUAGAGGUGAAAUUCUUGGACUGGUGCAGUUCGGACCAGAGCUAAAGCAUUUGCCAAGAAUGUUUUCAUUAACCAAGAACGAAAGUCGGAGUUUCGAAGACGAUCAGAUACCGUCGUUGUUCCGACCAUAAACGAUGCCAACUGGUGAUGCAGCGGUGUUAUUUCCAUGACCCGCUGGGCAGCUUCCCAGAAACCAAAGUCUUUGGGUUUUUGGGUUCCCAGGCGAGUAUGGUUGCAAAGCUGAAACUUAAAGGAAUUGGUGGAAGGGCACCACCAGGAGUGGAGCCUGCAGCUUAAUUUGACUCAAUAUGGGAAACCUCACCCGGCCCGGACAUGGACAGGAUUGACAGAUUGAUAGGUCUUUCUUGAUUCCAUGGGUGGUGGUGCAUGGCCUUAGUUGGUGGAGUGAUUUGUCUGGUUAAUUCCGAUAAUGAAGGAGACUCUGGCAUGCUAACUAGUUACGCGACCCCCAAGCGGUCAGCAUCCCCCAACUUCUUAGAGGGAUAAGUGGCAUUUAGCCACCCGAGAUUGAGAAAUAACACGUCUGUGAUGCCCUUAGAUGUCUGGGGCUGCACGCACGCUACAGUGACUGGCUCAGCGUGUGCCUACCCUACGUGGCAGACGCGGGUAACCUGUUGAACACCAUUGGUGAUGGUGAUCGGGGAUUGCAAUUAUUCCCCAUGAAUGACGAAUUCCCAGUAAGUGUGGGUCAUAGGCUUGCGUGAAGUCCCUACCCUUUGUACACACUGCCAGUCGCUACUACUGAUUGGAUGGUUUAGUGAGGCCCUUGGAUCGGCCCCGCCGGGUCAGCCCACUGCCCUGGUGGAGCACUGAGAAGACAGUCGAACUUGACUAUCUAGAGGAAGUAAAAGUCAUAACAAAAUUUCCAUAGUUGAACCUGUCGAGGGAUCAUUA